UCCGGUUCAUCACCGGCAGUCUCUUCAGAGUCCCCGCCUCUACGCGCUGGUAACUGAAAACAAGGGUUGCGCUCGUUACGGGACUUAACCCAACAUCUCACAACACGAGCUGACGACAGCCAUGCAGCACCUGUCUCACGGUUCCUCUCGGCACUCCCGCAUCUCUGCAAGAUUCCGUGGAUGUCAAGGGUAGGUAAGGUUCUUCGCGUUGCAUCGAAUUAAACCACAUGCUCCACCGCUUGUGCGGGCCCCCGUCAAUUCCUUUGAGUUUUAACCUUGCGGCCGUACUCCCCAGGCGGAGAACUUAUCGCGUUAGCUUCGAUACCAACAGGCUUCGCCUGCCAACAUCUAGUUCUCAUCGUUUACAGCGUGGACUAC
This 378-nucleotide unclassified non-coding RNA is filed under the name uncultured Gammaproteobacteria bacterium. Its description in RNAcentral is "contains 16S-23S intergenic spacer region". Lineage: Bacteria; Pseudomonadati; Pseudomonadota; Gammaproteobacteria. The record is from RNAcentral.